Molecule: non-coding RNA, 244 nt
Organism: Paramuricea clavata
Lineage: Eukaryota; Metazoa; Cnidaria; Anthozoa; Malacalcyonacea; Plexauridae
Source: the annotation of a GenBank genome assembly
AGCUUCAUAUGAAAAAUCUGUAAGAAGGUUUUAGAGAUAAUUUUAAAUGUUCUUUCAAAAGAGACAUUAAAAAAUUUUGUUGCCAUAUUUCUUUAACUACUAUUGAAAUAAAAAAUAGUGGUUAAAAAUAGUAUGAGUUUUAUGCAAUUAACCGGCCCCAUGAGGUAGUGUUUGCAUUAUAUUGUGUAUUAAUUAUUACUUAUUAAAUCAUUAUGUAUUAAUAAAAAUGUGUUUGUAAUUUGCA